Molecule: ribosomal RNA, 494 nt
Filed under: uncultured bacterium
Lineage: Bacteria
Description: bacterial SSU rRNA
Rfam family: Bacterial small subunit ribosomal RNA
Source: RNAcentral
AUUGAACGCUGGCGGCGUGCCUAACACAUGCAAGUCGAGCGGUAACAGGCGUAGCAAUACGUGCUGACGAGCGGCGAACGGGUGCGUAAUACAUGGGAAUCUGCCCUCUGGUGGGGAAUAACCCGGCGAAAGCCGGGCUAAUGCCGCAUAAGAUCCUCGGAUGAAAGCGGGGGACCGUAAGGCCUCGCGCCGUUGGAUGAGCCCAUGUCGGAUUAGCUAGUUGGUGGGGUAACGGCCCACCAAGGCGACGAUCCGUAGCUGGUCUGAGAGGACGGCCAGCCACACUGGGACUGAGGCACGGCCCAGACUCCUACGGGAGGCAGCAGUGGGGAAUAUUGGACAAUGGGCGAAAGCCUGAUCCAGCGACGCCGCGUGUGUGAAGAAGGCCUGCGGGUUGUAAAGCACUUUCGAUGGGAACGAAAUGUGCCGGGCUAAUACCCCGGCAAGCUGACGUUACUCAAUGAAGAAGCACCGGCUAACUCUGUGCCAGCACG